UACGGAGGGUGCGAGCGUUGUCCGGAAUCACUGGGCGUAAAGGGCGCGUAGGUGGCGCGGGCAGUCAACGGUGAAAGUUCGGGGCUCAACCCUGAAUCGGCCGUCGAUACUCCCGUGCUGGAGCACUGUAGAGGCUAAUGGAAUUCCGGGUGUAGCGGUGGAAUGCGUAGAGAUCCGGAAGAACACCGGUGGCGAAGGCGGUUAGCUGGGCAGUUGCUGACACUGAGGCGCGACAGCGUGGGGAGCGAUCCGG
RNAcentral lists this ribosomal RNA (253 nucleotides) under uncultured bacterium. RNAcentral's name for it is "partial 16S ribosomal RNA". It matches the Rfam family "Bacterial small subunit ribosomal RNA", at positions 524 to 776 of the family's 1533-position model. The record is from RNAcentral.